This 497-nucleotide ribosomal RNA is filed under the name uncultured bacterium. RNAcentral describes it as "partial 16S ribosomal RNA". It matches the Rfam family "Bacterial small subunit ribosomal RNA", at positions 28 to 507 of the family's 1533-position model. The record is from RNAcentral.
GAUGAACGCUGGCGGCGUGCCUAAUACAUGCAAGUCGAGCGAACAGACGAUGAGCUUGUUCCUCUGACGAUAGCGGCGGGCGUGGGAAUAACACGUGGAUAACCUACCUGUCAGUCUGGGAUAACCUCGAAAAACCGGCGCUAAUACCGUAUAAUAUAUUGCACCGUAUGGUUGAAUAGUAAGAGACGGUUUUGCUGUAACUUCUAGAUGGAUCCGCGCGGCAUUGGCUAGUUGGUAAGGUAACGGUGUACUAAGGCAACGAUGCGUAGCCGACGUGAGAGGGGGAUAGGCAACAAGGGAACAUGGACACGGUCAAGACGACUACGAGAGGCAGCAGAAGGGAAUCGUGCGCAAGAGGGGAAAGCGUGACGGAGUAGAGGGACGCGAGAGAUGAAAGCGUUGGGAUCGUAAAGCUCUGUUAUUGGGGAAGAACAAAUGUGGAAGUAACUAUGUAGGGAUUGACGGUACGUAAUCAGAAAGCCACGGCUAACUACGUG